Molecule: ribosomal RNA, 487 nt
Filed under: bacterium enrichment culture clone ALO1_GLFRUDD03HHUWK
Lineage: Bacteria
Description: bacterial SSU rRNA
Rfam family: Bacterial small subunit ribosomal RNA
Source: RNAcentral
GAGUUUGAUCAUGGCUCAGGACGAACGCUGGCGGCGUGCUUAACACAUGCAAGUCGAGCGAUGAAGUCCCUUCGGGACGGAUUAGCGGCGGACGGGUGAGUAACACGUGGGCAACCUGCCUCAAAGAGGGGGAUAGCCUCCCGAAAGGGAGAUUAAUACCGCAUAACAUUAGAGUGUCACAUGAUGCUUUAAUCAAAGGAGUAAUCCGCUUUGAGAUGGGGCCCGCGGCGCAUUAGCUAGUUGGUGAGGUAACGGCUCACCAAGGCAACGAUGCGUAGCCGACCUGAGAGGUGAUCGGCCACAUUGGAACUGAGACACGGUCCAGACUCCUACGGGAGGCAGCAGUGGGGAAUAUUGCACAAUGGGGGAAACCCUGAUGCAGCAACGCCGCGUGAGUGAUGAAGGUCUUCGGAUUGUAAAGCUCUGUCUUUUGGGACGAUAAUGACGGUACCAAAGGAGGAAGCCACGGCUAACUACGUGCCAGCCG